Molecule: ribosomal RNA, 393 nt
Filed under: uncultured bacterium
Lineage: Bacteria
Description: partial 16S ribosomal RNA
Rfam family: Bacterial small subunit ribosomal RNA
Source: RNAcentral
AUACGGAGGAUGCGAGCGUUAUCCGGAUUUAUUGGGUUUAAAGGGUGCGUAGGCGGAUAGUUAAGUCAGUGGUGAAAAGCCAUCGCUCAACGAUGGUCGUGCCAUUGAUACUGGCAGUCUAGAGUUCCGUUGCCGUGGGAGGAAUGAGUAGUGUAGCGGUGAAAUGCAUAGAUAUUACUCAGAACACCGAUUGUGAAGACAUCUCACGAAGCGGCGACUGACGCUGAGGCACGAAAGCGUGGGGAUCGAACAGGAUUAGAUACCCUGGUAGUCCACGCAGUAAACGAUGAUGACUAACCGUUGGUUCAAACGGAUCAGUGGCCAAGCGAAAGCGAUAAGUCAUCCACCUGGGGAGUACGACCGCAAGGUUGAAACUCAAAGGAAUUGGCGGGG